RNAcentral lists this ribosomal RNA (477 nucleotides) under Leuconostoc pseudomesenteroides. RNAcentral's name for it is "bacterial SSU rRNA". It matches the Rfam family "Bacterial small subunit ribosomal RNA", at positions 332 to 801 of the family's 1533-position model. Lineage: Bacteria; Bacillati; Bacillota; Bacilli; Lactobacillales; Lactobacillaceae. The record is from RNAcentral.
GGCAAACCUACGGGGGGCAGCAGUAGGGAAUCUUCCACAAUGGGCGAAAGCCUGAUGGAGCAACGCCGCGUGUGUGAUGAAGGCUUUCGGGUCGUAAAGCACUGUUGUAUGGGAAGAACAGCUAGAAUAGGGAAUGAUUUUAGUUUGACGGUACCAUACCAGAAAGGGACGGCUAAAUACGUGCCAGCAGCCGCGGUAAUACGUAUGUCCCGAGCGUUAUCCGGAUUUAUUGGGCGUAAAGCGAGCGCAGACGGUUGAUUAAGUCUGAUGUGAAAGCCCGGAGCUCAACUCCGGAAUGGCAUUGGAAACUGGUUAACUUGAGUGCAGUAGAGGUAAGUGGAACUCCAUGUGUAGCGGUGGAAUGCGUAGAUAUAUGGAAGAACACCAGUGGCGAAGGCGGCUUACUGGACUGUAACUGACGUUGAGGCUCGAAAGUGUGGGUAGCAAACAGGAUUAGAUACCCCAGUAGUCCUAAAG